CAUUGGCGGAGACAACACAGUCGGAGAGAGUUGAGGCGUCUGGAGUGUGAGAGACCUGUAACCUCACUCCUCUCAGCUGAGACCUGUUGCUGGAUUGCCUGUGACUCUGGCUGUCUGCUGAGGAGAGCAAGUGGCCAACAGCUAGGGCAAGAUGAAGCUCUCUCUGAUGGCCACGGUUCUGCUG
RNAcentral lists this non-coding RNA (184 nucleotides) under Marmota monax (woodchuck). RNAcentral describes it as "bip internal ribosome entry site (IRES)". It matches the Rfam family "bip internal ribosome entry site (IRES)". Rfam says of the family: This family represents the bip internal ribosome entry site (IRES). BiP protein expression has been found to be significantly enhanced by the heat shock response due to IRES-dependent translation. It is thought that this translational mechanism is essential for the survival of cells under stress. Lineage: Eukaryota; Metazoa; Chordata; Mammalia; Rodentia; Sciuridae. The record is from Rfam by way of RNAcentral.